Molecule: transfer RNA, 65 nt
Filed under: Tropicagama temporalis (Swamplands lashtail)
Lineage: Eukaryota; Metazoa; Chordata; Lepidosauria; Squamata; Agamidae
Description: Gowidon temporalis (Swamplands lashtail) tRNA-Tyr
Rfam family: tRNA
About the family: Transfer RNA (tRNA) molecules are approximately 80 nucleotides in length. Their secondary structure includes four short double-helical elements and three loops (D, anti-codon, and T loops).
Source: RNAcentral
GUAAAGAUGGCUGAGAGUAGGCGGUGGGUUGUAAUUCCAUUUACGGGGUGAUACCUCUCUUUACA